Molecule: ribosomal RNA, 450 nt
Filed under: uncultured bacterium
Lineage: Bacteria
Description: partial 16S ribosomal RNA
Rfam family: Bacterial small subunit ribosomal RNA
Source: RNAcentral
GUGGGGAAUAUUGGACAAUGGGCGAAAGCCUGAUCCAGCCAUGCCGCGUGUGUGAAGAAGGUCUUCGGAUUGUAAAGCACUUUAAGUUGGGAGGAAGGGCAGUAAGUUAAUACCUUGCUGUUUUGACGUUACCGACAGAAUAAGCACCGGCUAACUUCGUGCCAGCAGCCGCGGUAAUACGAAGGGUGCAAGCGUUAAUCGGAAUUACUGGGCGUAAAGCGCGCGUAGGUGGUUUUGUAAGUUGGAGGUGAAAUCCCCGGGCUCAAACUGGGAACUGCCUCAAAAACUGCAUGACUAGAGUACGGUAGAGGGUAGUGGAAUUUCCUGUGUAGCGGUGAAAUGCGUAGAUAUAGGAAGGAACACCAGUGGCGAAGGCGACUACCUGGACUGAUACUUACACUGAGGUGCGAAAGCGUGGGUAGCAAACAGGAUUAGAAACCCUUGUAGUCC